This 68-nucleotide transfer RNA is filed under the name Marmota monax (woodchuck). RNAcentral describes it as "tRNA.Ala". The stretch from base 5 to 65 matches the Rfam family "tRNA", at positions 6 to 65 of the family's 71-position model. Rfam says of the family: Transfer RNA (tRNA) molecules are approximately 80 nucleotides in length. Their secondary structure includes four short double-helical elements and three loops (D, anti-codon, and T loops). Further hydrogen bonds mediate the characteristic L-shaped molecular structure. tRNAs have two regions of fundamental functional importance: the anti-codon, which is responsible for specific mRNA codon recognition, and the 3' end, to which the tRNAs corresponding amino acid is attached (by aminoacyl-tRNA synthetases). tRNAs cope with the degeneracy of the genetic code in two manners: having more than one tRNA (with a specific anti-codon) for a particular amino acid; and 'wobble' base-pairing, i.e. permitting non-standard base-pairing at the 3rd anti-codon position. Lineage: Eukaryota; Metazoa; Chordata; Mammalia; Rodentia; Sciuridae. The record is from RNAcentral.
GGAUUGUAGCUCAGUGGUAGAGCACUUGCCUAGCAUGUGUGAAGCACUGGGUUCAAUCCUCAGCACCA